This 445-nucleotide ribosomal RNA is filed under the name uncultured bacterium. RNAcentral describes it as "bacterial SSU rRNA". It matches the Rfam family "Bacterial small subunit ribosomal RNA", at positions 354 to 796 of the family's 1533-position model. The record is from RNAcentral.
GUAAGGAAUAUUGGACAAUGGACGCAAGUCUGAUCCAGCCAUGCCGCGUGAAGGAUUAAGGUCCUCUGGAUUGUAAACUUCUUUUAUAAGGGAUGAAAAAAGGCUUUUCUAAGUCGUCUGACGGUACCUUAUGAAUAAGCACCGGCUAACUCCGUGCCAGCAGCCGCGGUAAUACGGAGGGUGCAAGCGUUAUCCGGAUUCACUGGGUUUAAAGGGUGCGUAGGCGGGCAGGUAAGUCAGUGGUGAAAUCCUAGAGCUUAACUCUAGAACUGCCAUUGAUACUAUCUGUCUUGAAUAUUGUGGAGGUAAGCGGAAUAUGUCAUGUAGCGGUGAAAUGCUUAGAUAUGACAUAGAACACCUAUUGCGAAGGCAGCUUACUACGCAUAUAUUGACGCUGAGGCACGAAAGCGUGGGGAUCAAACAGGAUUAGAUACCCGGGUAGUCC